Molecule: ribosomal RNA, 423 nt
Filed under: uncultured bacterium
Lineage: Bacteria
Description: partial 16S ribosomal RNA
Rfam family: Bacterial small subunit ribosomal RNA
Source: RNAcentral
AAUUUUGGACAAUGGGGGAAACCCUGAUCCAGCCAUCCCGCGUGUAUGAUGAAGGCCUUCGGGUUGUAAAUUACUUUUGGAGGGGAAGAAAAGUAAUCCCCUAAUACGAGUUCUUGCUGACGGUACUGGCAGAAUAAGCACCGGCUAACUACGUGCAAGCAGCCGCGGUAAUACGUAGGGUGCAAGCGUUAAUCGGAAUUACUGGGCGUAAAGCGUGUGUAGGCGGUUCGGAAAGAAAGAUGUGAAAUCCCAGGGCUCAACCUUGGAACUGCAUUUUUAACUGCCGAGCUAGAGUAUGUCAGAGGGGGGUAGAAUUCUACGUGUAGCAGUGAAAUGCGUAGAUAUGUGGAGGAAUACCGAUGGCGAAGGCAGCCCCCUGGGAUAAUACUGACGCUCAGACACGAAAGCGUGGGGAGCAAACAG